This 54-nucleotide transfer RNA is filed under the name Heterorhabditis bacteriophora. RNAcentral's name for it is "tRNA-Asn". Lineage: Eukaryota; Metazoa; Nematoda; Chromadorea; Rhabditida; Heterorhabditidae. The record is from RNAcentral. RNAcentral also lists the same sequence under 1 other name.
UAAGAGUUAGUUUAAUUAGAAUUGUUGACUGUUGAUCAAAAGGUUAACUCUUAA